This 528-nucleotide ribosomal RNA is filed under the name uncultured bacterium. Its description in RNAcentral is "bacterial SSU rRNA". It matches the Rfam family "Bacterial small subunit ribosomal RNA", at positions 8 to 518 of the family's 1533-position model. The record is from RNAcentral.
AGAGUUUGAUUCUGGCUCAGGAUAAACGCUGGCGGCGUGCUUAACACAUGCAAGUCGAACGGAGUAAUUCUCCCGAAAAUUGAAGAAGCUUGCUUCUGAAAGAUUCAUUUGAAUUACUUAGUGGCGGACGGGUGAGUAACGCGUGGGAAACCUGCCCUAUACUGGGGGAUAGCAGUUGGAAACGACUGAUAAUACCGCAUAAGCGCACAGCUUCGCAUGAAGCAGUGUGAAAAACUCCGGUGGUAUAGGAUGGUCCCGCGUCUGAUUAGCUAGUUGGUGAGGUAACGGCCCACCAAGGCGACGAUCAGUAGCCGGCCUGAGAGGGUGUACGGCCACAUUGGGACUGAGACACGGCCCAAACUCCUACGGGAGGCAGCAGUGGGGAAUAUUGGACAAGUGGGGGGAACCCUGAACUCCAGCGACGCCGCGUGAACGAAGAAGUAUUUCGGUAUGUAAAGUUCUAUCAGCAGGGAAGAUAAUGACGGUACCUGACUAAGAAGCACCGGCUAAAUACGUGCCAGCCGCCGC